RNAcentral lists this ribosomal RNA (558 nucleotides) under Staphylococcus warneri. RNAcentral describes it as "bacterial SSU rRNA". It matches the Rfam family "Bacterial small subunit ribosomal RNA", at positions 365 to 917 of the family's 1533-position model. The record is from RNAcentral. Lineage: Bacteria; Bacillati; Bacillota; Bacilli; Caryophanales; Staphylococcaceae.
UUCGCAUGGGCGAGCCUGACGGAGCACGCCGCGUGAGUGAUGAAGGUCUUCGGAUCGUAAAACUCUGUUAUCAGGGAAGAACAAAUGUGUAAGUAACUGUGCACAUCUUGACGGUACCUGAUCAGAAAGCCACGGCUAACUACGUGCCAGCAGCCGCGGUAAUACGUAGGUGGCAAGCGUUAUCCGGAAUUAUUGGGCGUAAAGCGCGCGUAGGCGGUUUUUUAAGUCUGAUGUGAAAGCCCACGGCUCAACCGUGGAGGGUCAUUGGAAACUGGAAAACUUGAGUGCAGAAAAGGAAAGUGGAAUUCCAUGUGUAGCGGUGAAAUGCGCAGAGAUAUGGAGGAACACCAGUGGCGAAGGCGACUUUCUGGUCUGUAACUGACGCUGAUGUGCGAAAGCGUGGGGAUCAAACAGGAUUAGAUACCCUGGUAGUCCACGCCGUAAACGAUGAGUGCUAAGUGUUAGGGGGUUUCCGCCCCUUAGUGCUGCAGCUAACGCAUUAAGCACUCCGCCUGGGGAGUACGACCGCAAGGUUGAAACUCAAUGAAAUUUGACGGA